This 207-nucleotide ribosomal RNA is filed under the name uncultured bacterium. RNAcentral's name for it is "partial 16S ribosomal RNA". It matches the Rfam family "Bacterial small subunit ribosomal RNA", at positions 568 to 774 of the family's 1533-position model. The record is from RNAcentral.
CGCGUAGGCGGUCUGGUAAGUCUGGUGUGAAAUCCCGGAGCUCAACUCCGGAACUGCACUGGAUACUGCCAGGCUUGAGUGCGGGAGAGGAGAGUGGAAUUCCCAGUGUAGAGGUGAAAUUCGUAGAUACUGGGAGGAACACCGGUGGCGAAGGCGGCUCUCUGGACCGCAACUGACGCUGAGGCGCGAAAGCUAGGGGAGCAAACG